RNAcentral lists this ribosomal RNA (490 nucleotides) under uncultured Glomus. RNAcentral describes it as "SSU rRNA". It matches the Rfam family "Eukaryotic small subunit ribosomal RNA", at positions 536 to 1036 of the family's 1831-position model. The record is from RNAcentral. Lineage: Eukaryota; Fungi; Glomeromycota; Glomeromycetes; Glomerales; Glomeraceae.
CACGGGGGUUGGAGGGCAAGUCUGGUGCCAGCAGCCGCGGUAAUUCCAGCUCCAAUAGCGUAUAUUAAAGUUGUUGCAGUUAAAAAGCUCGUAGUUGAAUUUCGGGAUCAAAUUGUCGGUCGUGCCUCGGUACGUACUGGCGUUAUUGGUUCCUCCCUUCUGAAGAACCGCGAUGUCAUUAAUUUGGUGUCGCGGGGAAUCAGGACUGUUACUUUGAAAAAAUUAGAGUGUUUAAAGCAGGCUCGCGCUUGAAUACAUUAGCAUGGAAUAAUGAAAUAGGACGUUUGAUUCUAUUUUGUUGGUUUCUAGGAUCGACGUAAUGAUUAAUAGGGAUAGUUGGGGGCAUUAGUAUUCAAUUGUCAGAGGUGAAAUUCUUGGAUUUAUUGAAGACUAACUACUGCGAAAGCAUUUGCCAAGGAUGUUUUCAUUAAUCAAGAACGAAAGUUAGGGGAUCGAAGACGAUCAGAUACCGUCGUAGUCUAACCAUAAA